This 490-nucleotide ribosomal RNA is filed under the name uncultured bacterium. Its description in RNAcentral is "partial 16S ribosomal RNA". It matches the Rfam family "Bacterial small subunit ribosomal RNA", at positions 30 to 507 of the family's 1533-position model. The record is from RNAcentral.
AUUGAACGCUGGCGGCAGGCCUAACACAUGCAAGUCGAACGGUAACAGGAAGCAGCUUGCUGCUUCGCUGACGAGUGGCGGACGGGUGAGUAAUGUCUGGGAAACUGCCUGAUGGAGGGGGAUAACUACUGGAAACGGUAGCUAAUACCGCAUAACGUCGCAAGACCAAAGAGGGGGACCUUAGGGCCUCUUGCCAUCGGAUGUGCCCAGAUGGGAUUAGCUAGUAGGUGGGGUAACGGCUCACCUAGGCGACGAUCCCUAGCUGGUCUGAGAGGAUGACAAGCCACACUGGAACUGAGACACGGUCCAGACUCCUACGGGAGGCAGCAGUGGGGAAUAUUGCACAAUGGGCGCAAGCAUGAUGCAGCCAUGCCGCGUGUAUGAAGAAGGCCUUCGGGUUGUAAAGUACUUUCAGCGGGGAGGAAGGGAGUAAAGUUAAGACCUUUGCUCAUUGACGUUACCCGCAGAAGAAGCACCGGCUAACUCCGUG